GUCCCUUUUGAUUUUUAUUUAAGGUCUGAUCUGCUCACUGAUGGUAUGUUUAAGAGCCGCGGUAAUUUGACCGUGCAAAGGUAGCGUGAUAAUUAGUUUUUUAAUUGAAAGCUGGAAUGAAUGAUUUGACGAGAAAAUAGCUGUCUCUUAUUAAUAAAUAAAAUUUUAUGUUUAAGUAAAAAAUCUUAGAUAAUUUCAAGGGACGAGAAGACCCUAUAGAGUUUAAUAUAUAAAUAUUAUUUAUUAAUUUAUGAAUUUAAAUUUAAUUAUUAUUAAUGUAUUUGAUUGGGGUGAUUGAAAGAUUAGAUAAACUCUUUAUUUAUUUUACAUUGAUUAUUGGUUUAUUGAUCUAUAUAAAUAAUAGAAAGAUUAAAUUACCUUAGGGAUAACAGCGUAAUUUUUUAUUAAGUUCAUAUUAUUAUAAAGGAUUGCGACCUCGAUGUUGGAUUAAAAUUUAAGUUAGGUGUAGGUGCUUAAUAUUUGAGUCUGUUCGACUUUUAAAAUUUUACA
RNAcentral lists this ribosomal RNA (510 nucleotides) under Arrhipis sp. asia2 LB-2009. RNAcentral's name for it is "partial 16S ribosomal RNA". The record is from RNAcentral. Lineage: Eukaryota; Metazoa; Arthropoda; Insecta; Coleoptera; Eucnemidae. RNAcentral also lists the same sequence under 1 other name.